GUGAGGGCGCCCGUGAUCCACUCUUCAACCCAAAUAAUGGAGGUUUUAGAGGGAAUGGUUGUGACAGCCCUCAAAUCCGGGGGUCUGGAUCUGGUGCCACGUGUAAAUAAAAAUAAUUUAAAACCUGUAUUUUUGAGUCACUGAAAGAAAAACAAUUUAAAAAAAUACAAGUAUUUCAAAACCUGAAUAUAUAAAAAAAAUGAUUUAAAUUAAAACUCAAAUUCACCCCCUGAAAACAGGAUCGCAUACAGGUUACAGCAUUGAAAUCAGAAACUAAAACUAUCAAAUUUAAUUACAAAUUAAACUGCAUUAUCAGCUAAACAUCGAUAAGAAGAGUAGCUGAUGACCAAAUAAACAAAUCUCAUUUCCAACUGAAUUGAAUUGCAGAACUCCAACUGCAUCUAGUCUUAAUCACAUCGUCCCGGAUACCCUACCUAACAAUUUUCCUGAACUCAACCACUUGCAAUCAUUGCCUAUCAUUACUCUUUACGCGCAGUCUUUAGUGAAUCAUCUUUAUCCCUAGCUGAAAAAGGUUAGAAGGAAUAGCAAGAAUGAGCAAUAAUGCUCAGCAAGAAUAUGAUAGGUGGAAGCAACAAGAUAUAUAUAUUUAAGUGAAUCAGAAUGUUGAAGUGAAAGUAAACUCUGGAUUAAACAUGAUGUUGUAAACCAACAGUUCAGUAUAAAAGAGUAAAAUGGUAAACAAUGAUAAAACAGUUCUGCAUCAAUAUAUGAAUUUAAAGCUGUAGAAAUAAAAAUAACUUCCAUUAUCUUUUGAACAUAAGAUAAUCUCCUUUGAAACUAAUCAAUAUUUAAUUGGGUUUAAAUAAGACACCUGGCUAUAACAGAUGAUCAGUCAUGCUAUAGUCCAUAAACCAAGCUUAUUCAGCAAGGUUGACAAAUAUUACGAAUUCCGGUAAUCCGGGCUAAAGGAGCCACCUUUCACGCUGGGCCGAUGUCUGAGCCUCUUACGCAAAACUACCCAAUAUAUUAAAUUUAAAAGCUACAGCUUUAACAUGAUUUGGUAAAUUCAAGAAUUCAAGUGGCUUUUCUUGUUAAACAAAUUUAUUUUGUAGCAAAUCAAAAUAGUUACUACUUUUAGUAGUUUGAAAAUCUUUUAUCAAAAUCAAAGUUUAAAUAGUGAGUCAAAGGUAUUAUCAAUUCAACUGCAGGUAUUCAAUUACUAAACAUGAUUCACAAGAAUGAUGUCACGAUAAAAAUGAAUCAUGUCAUGAAAGAGAGGUCAGGGUCAAGAAGAAGAUAAAAAUCGCUUACUCUUAACUAAGGGUAGAAAUACUUGCCUUAACUCCGACGUCUAGUCACGAUUCUAAUAGCACUAUACCGCACAAUCAUAUCUUUCUAAGCAGCUUCUGACAAUACUCUUUCUACGUCUGUCAUCUCAGAUUAUUCUUGCUUCAACUUGCAACACCAUCGGAUUAAUUCUGAACAUUCUCGAUAUACACGUCUUGAUCUAUUCUACACGAUAGUAGGAUAAUAUCUCAGUCAUCGGAUUAAAAGAACUAGCUAAUUCCAAAUAGUAUAGGAACCGCGAACAUCUACCCUUCGCAUAUCCGUAUAUAGUAAACAUGAAUAUAUACAAAUAUCCACAUAACAAUAUAUACACAUACACAUUGGAUCAGUCGGCACAUAACAACGUAGUCAAUCAUAUUUCAGUCCACAUAAAAUAUAUUGCGAUUAACUAUCAAAUAUCAAAUAUUUAUUAUAAAUAAACACCCUUAAUUUCUAACAAAAAUUCGACAGCAUCUCCUCUAUUUAUUGGACUAUCCACCUGUUUGCAAUACCAACAAUCAGCCAAUACUAUUGCUGACACAUGAAUUACUAUUAUAAAAAGAUGUCUUGACUUUCAAUAAACACAUAAGAAAAUCCGCCUUGACUUGCAGUAAACAUGUAAGAAAAAUCUUUUAGCAGGAUUGCUAAUUUGUUAUACCAAAACACAUUUAAUUAGAUAUACAAAUCAUUAUUCGAUUCUAAUCUUCUUCUAUUUUUCAGCGGUCGAUGAUGCUCAAUAACGUAAAUUAUCGUUGACUCACAAUGGUCUGUGAAGAUCUCAUUAUAAAUAUCCAUGAUCGUCAGAAGUCCUGCUCAGCUUCGCAUAGUCCGAAAUAUUAUCGAGUUUCGUAUAAUCAUCACCACUGAGUGUUGACGUCUUAACUUACUAAUGCCCAGAAUUUUCAGCACCAUACUAUACUAAAACGGUCAUAUCUCCUAGCUCGCUAAUCGAAUCGAUUCGAUUCUUUCGCGCACAUAAACUAGACUCUGAGGAGCACAUAAACACACAAAUAUUAAGCAUAUAAUUCGAUUCUAUGAGCCCAGAAUUGUACUACAAAGCAGAUCAGCCGCAACCUAGAAUUCAAUCGAUUAUGUGUAAAUCUGAAUUUUUAGCCCAAUACUUAACUCUUACAUUUACACAAAAUAUUAAACUUGAAAGCCUAAAUACUCAGUUAUAUAUUCUCAUAAUUCAAGUACCCCAGUCAUCCAAUUAUACUACUAGUUGGCGUACUGAUUAUAAUCGACCUACAACAACCAAAUUCAAAUAUCAAUUAGGCACACAAUUCAAUCAUACAAUUACUAACACCAAUCUCAAUCUCAAAAAUUCAAUCAACCUUCAAUUACAAGCAUAUAAUCAGUUUAUACUCAUGCAAGCACACAUAAAUCAGAUUAUACACACAUAUCAAAUACAUGUACACGUAUAAACACGGUUCACCCGAAUAUAAUUUCGAUUAUCCGACAUGUAAAUACACGCAUAUAUACACAUACAUGUAUCACAUAACUGAUUUAAUAAGUAAAACCAUCGAGUUUAUACCCAUUGAAUCGUAACAGGAGGUGCAGGGGUUUGGAUGGUCGCCGGAGAAAUAGGCGGCGGCUAUAGCAACGGCAGGAGGAAGAAAGAGCCAACGGAGAGGGUGAGAUCAAGAGUGAUUUGGGUGAGAUACGUGCGAGAGUGAGAGAUGAGACAUAGCAGCAAGAGUUUUAUGCAGAGUAUUAGAAACAAUGAGGAAGGAAAAAGAAAAGAAAAGAAAGGCGGUGGAAAAGCAGGGGCACGUGGCUAAACCUUUUGUUGUCACAUGUCCUUAACAAUCUGGCUAAUCAAUUGAUUCGUACCCUCUUUAACUGUUUUACGGAGAUAACUUGCAAUAAAAUUUCUCCCGAAAUUUAUCGAAACAUUUUUUUAUAAAUCCAAUAAUAUUACAAAACUAAUAAAAUUAAAGUUUCGGGAUUUAUAGAGCAUUUUCGAAAUUUAUACAAAAUUUAGAAGUUAGUUGCGCUUUAAAAAUAAUUAAAAAUCAUGUUCUUAAAGAAAUAAGAUUUUUAAUAUUUUAAAAACUCCUAAAAUAUUUAUAAUCACUAUUAAGCAAUUAAAAUAAUUAUUCAAAUUAUCUUUGUAUUUUUACAAAAAUAAAUAUCCAUUUAAGAGGAUAAUAAAUCUUUGAUAAAAUAAUAUAAUAAUAUCAAAAGCAGAAAUAAAUGCACACAUAGACAUAAUCGUAUACAAAUAGAUCAAUUAAAUCUCUUAACAGAUAAUUGCACGAUCAACAGAUAUUUUCCCAUAACCCCGUUGACCAGGAAAAUAUUUAAACAAAUAUAUUUAUUUUUAUUUAUUAUUUUUUUUUUUUUUGAAAUUUACCAAACUGGAAUAAAAUAUUAAAUUUUAUUCCUCCUUUUUAUAAAAACCAUUAAUAAAAUAUUUUGAAAAAUCCGGGUUGUCACAAUCUACCCCCCUUAAAAGGAUUCCGUCCUCGGAAUCAGCGAAAAGAAAACUAGAGCGUACGAUCUCUUUAAUCCAUAAUACUUCUUUAUGAGGUGAUAUCCUCUUGAUUGCUGUCGUAUAUUCGCAUCAUCAUUCGCUUUUGCUCAUGGUACCUCCUACUAUAAAGGCUUAAUUUUACUUGGCAACUCAGUUGGCAUACCUUCAACUAUUAAAGAUUACAAGAAUAUGAAAGAUUAGAUCUAUUGGAACAAAUAUAACGUGAUUGGAAACAAAAGAAUAACCGAGAGAUCAAUAUGAUCUAAAGAACUUGGUGUUGCGUGUCUAAAUUAAGACACUACUAAAGGUAGUUAACCUUCUUGUAAUGUACAACACACACAAGUGAUGGCGUCCCAUCCAACUCCUAUCACACAGACUGGUAGUCCUUGUGUCCCCUAUAGGUAGGGUUGUUCAUCUCAGUUAGAGUAGAAUGAUAUAAUAGAUAUUCAAAAUCAAUUAAGAAUGAUUGACUUUUGAUGAAUGAAUCUUUGAUGCGCACCUUGGGUUAAAAAUUGAAUAAGUUCCAAAGGUGCUAGUUUCAAUGAAAAGAUUAGUUAGAAAUGAUAAAAUAGACACAAGUAUCAUUUUAUAACUCAUGAGAUUGAAAUAUAGUCUUUAUCAAACGUCUCUAGGAAAAGAUGUUAAGACAAUUCAUUGAUGAAGAAGGUAAUCAAUAUAAUCAACAAAGAGGAAGGUAUUGCCAAGAUUCUUCAAGAUAUGCUGCUCUGAUGGAUCAUUAUUCGAUUCUAAUCUUCUUCUAUUUUUCAGCGGUCGAUGAUGCUCAAUAACGUAAAUUAUCGUUGACUCACAAUGGUCUGUGAAGAUCUCAUUAUAAAUAUCCAUGAUCGUCAGAAGUCCUGCUCAGCUUCGCAUAGUCCGAAAUAUUAUCGAGUUUCGUAUAAUCAUCACCACUGAGUGUUGACGUCUUAACUUACUAACAAGUACUAUAUCCACUAAUCUACACGAGCUCUAAAUAACUUUAACGUUCAUUAUUUAACUAUAUACGAAACUUCUUACUUGACCCUACAAGUUUCAUAUUCUUGUAUUAGCUCUAAUGCUCACUACUUCACUAUAUACAAAGCUUUAAAUUCGGACCUGUUAAGACCUAUAUUCUUUCACCAAUUCUAUAUAUCUUUAACAAGAAUCAAAGAUAACUCCCCAAAUACUAUUCAAAGAUUGGCAGACACUAUAAAGAUUACUCUAGACUAUGUGAGAAUCUAUACUAGUCCAACCUCAAUUGGUUCCCAUUAUAAAGUUCACCUAAUAGGUGUAUCUUUCAUCCUUCAAAUGGUUUUGAAUCUAAAUCAACCAAAAGAAAUCUUAUCCACCUACUAUGAGUUUCUAACUCAAUUAAACUGGUGUUAAGAAAUUUUGAUCCAUAAUAAAAACACAUAAAGUCACUCUUCUAAUUUAUCUCUGUCUUGGUGACGAGGACUAUGAAAUAAUUAUUGACUUUCUAGUCUCAACAGGUGAAACUAUUUGUUUGCUGAUAUUGGUACUAACUACUCAAUAGACUAGAAACUAGUGGGGCAUGUUCUUCCUUCCCUGAUAUAUAAACUUACUAGUUCUGGGUCAAGAGAACUAAGAGAACUAUUAUACACACUAUGUUAUACUCAAAAUCAGUACUCUAUUGGAAUCUUGGUUCUAUUGACACAGACUCUUCCAAAGAGUUGUAGACUACCUCUAUGUGAGUUUACGCUUAGUGCACCUAUUUAUUAGACCUAAUAUUACCACCUAUAUUCUGAUUUCAAUAACUUAUAACCUGCAGCUCUGAUACCAACUGUGACAGCCCUCAAAUCCGGGGGUCUGGAUCUGGUGCCACGUGUAAAUAAAAAUAAUUUAAAACCUGUAUUUUUGAGUCACUGAAAGAAAAACAAUUUAAAAAAAUACAAGUAUUUCAAAACCUGAAUAUAUAAAAAAAAUGAUUUAAAUUAAAACUCAAAUUCACCCCCUGAAAACAGGAUCGCAUACAGGUUACAGCAUUGAAAUCAGAAACUAAAACUAUCAAAUUUAAUUACAAAUUAAACUGCAUUAUCAGCUAAACAUCGAUAAGAAGAGUAGCUGAUGACCAAAUAAACAAAUCUCAUUUCCAACUGAAUUGAAUUGCAGAACUCCAACUGCAUCUAGUCUUAAUCACAUCGUCCCGGAUACCCUACCUAACAAUUUUCCUGAACUCAACCACUUGCAAUCCUUGCCUAGUCUUAAGUGAAUCAUCUUUAUUCCUAGCUGAAAAGGGUUAGAAGGAAUAGCAAGAAUGAGCAAUAAUGCUCAGCAAGAAUAACAAAAUGAAAUUGAUAUUUGUUGUACAGCAAUGCCAUAAUAAAGAAGUGAAAAUAUUUAAAACUGCAGAAAUGAAUGUAUAAGCAAAUAUCUCUUGAAGGCAGGGUAACUUCUUUUUAAACUAUUCACAAUUUUAUUGGGCUUUAAAAAUAAUUGGACACCUGGCUAUAACAGAUGAUCAGUCAUGCUAUAGUCCAUAAACCAAGCUUAUUCAGCAAGGUUGACAAAUAUUACGAAUUCCGGUAAUCCGGGCUUAAGGAGCCACCUUUCACGCUGGGCCGGUGCCCGAGCCUCUUACGCAAAAACAACCCAAUAGUUUAAUUUUUAAAACAAUCUGCAGUUCCAUCAUGUAAUUCAAGAGCCAGAAUAACAUUUUGUUAAAACAAUUUCUUUAUGCAUAUCAUAGUGUAGAGUUGAUACCAAAAGUGUUAUCCGUUCAACCAAAAAGUUUAAAAGUACUAGAUAUGCUUCACAAGAAAGUAAUUGCAAAUAAUUUGAAUCAUGAUAUAAAGAAGGUUUUAGUAUCUAUAGGUACUAGAGGAGUAGGGUAGAAAUACUUGCUUCUAAAUUGCGAGAGAAGGUAGAAGUACUUGCCUUAACUCCAAAGUUUAGCUCAGAUUCCUAGUAACACUAUAUACCGCAUAAUCAUUCCUUUCUGCCAGCUUCUGACACACUUUUAUCUAUAACAAAUCUCCGUCCUACUUCAACUUGUAACAUUCUGCUUGGCUAUUUCUGAAUACCCCUUUCAAUCACUUCUCGAUUAAUGCCUCGGUCAAUGUCUUCAAUUCUAUACGAUGAUAAAAUAGUAUUUCAGUCGUCGGAUUAGACAUAUUGACUAACCCUGAAUUGCAUUAAGACCUAUAUAUAUAUCUACCCUUCGCAUAUACAUACCACAGUCACAUAAACACAUAGCACAUAGUUGUACAAACAACCCUUUUUAUAGGCAUUAAAUCCAUAUAAUUUCUAACGAAAAUUCGGCAGCAUCUCCUCUGUUUAUAAGCUUAUCCACCUGUUUGCAAUGCCAACAACCAACCAAUACUAUUGCUAACACAUGAAUUAUUAAUAUAAAAAGAUCCCUUGACUUGCAGUAAACACAUAAGAAAAUCUGUCUUGACUUGUAGUAAACAUAUAAUAAAAUCUUUUAGCAGGAUUGCUAACUUGUUAUACGCAAAACACUUUUAAUUAGAUAUACAAGGUUAACCGAGCCAAUCAAUGUAAUAAUCAAUUAUAUGCAAUUAGUCAAGUAUAACCUCAUACUAUGCACUAGCAAAGAAAGAAAAAUAGAACAAAUAGUUCAAACAGCCCUCGGUCUAUGAUUUUUAAUAAAUUGAAAAUUUAUCUUUUUAAUACGAAAUUUUUAUGAGACUCUCCUAAAUAUUAUUCCAACCUACAGUAAAAUUUUCAGAAAGAAAAUCCAAGUUUAAAGCUGUAAAACAGAGCCUGGAACAGGACAACCCUGCCCAGAAUUUUCAGCACCAUACUAUACUAAAACGGUCAUAUCUCCUAGCUCGCUAAUCGAAUCGAUUCGAUUCUUUCGCGCACAUAAACUAGACUCUGAGGAGCACAUAAACACACAAAUAUUAAGCAUAUAAUUCGAUUCUAUGAGCCCAGAAUUGUACUACAAAGCAGAUCAGCCGCAACCUAGAAUUCAAUCGAUUAUGUGUAAAUCUGAAUUUUUAGCCCAAUACUUAACUCUUACAUUUACACAAAAUAUUAAACUUGAAAGCCUAAAUACUCAGUUAUAUAUUCUCAUAAUUCAAGUACCCCAGUCAUCCAAUUAUACUACUAGUUGGCGUACUGAUUAUAAUCGACCUACAACAACCAAAUUCAAAUAUCAAUUAGGCACACAAUUCAAUCAUACAAUUACUAACACCAAUCUCAAUCUCAAAAAUUCAAUCAACCUUCAAUUACAAGCAUAUAAUCAGUUUAUACUCAUGCAAGCACACAUAAAUCAGAUUAUACACACAUAUCAAAUACAUGUACACGUAUAAACACGGUUCACCCGAAUAUAAUUUCGAUUAUCCGACAUGUAAAUACACGCAUAUAUACACAUACAUGUAUCACAUAACUGAUUUAAUAAGUAAAACCAUCGAGUUUAUACCCAUUGAAUCGUAACAGGAGGUGCAGGGGUUUGGAUGGUCGCCGGAGAAAUAGGCGGCGGCUAUAGCAACGGCAGGAGGAAGAAAGAGCCAACGGAGAGGGUGAGAUCAAGAGUGAUUUGGGUGAGAUACGUGCGAGAGUGAGAGAUGAGACAUAGCAGCAAGAGUUUUAUGCAGAGUAUUAGAAACAAUGAGGAAGGAAAAAGAAAAGAAAAGAAAGGCGGUGGAAAAGCAGGGGCACGUGGCUAAACCUUUUGUUGUCACAUGUCCUUAACAAUCUGGCUAAUCAAUUGAUUCGUACCCUCUUUAACUGUUUUACGGAGAUAACUUGCAAUAAAAUUUCUCCCGAAAUUUAUCGAAACAUUUUUUUAUAAAUCCAAUAAUAUUACAAAACUAAUAAAAUUAAAGUUUCGGGAUUUAUAGAGCAUUUUCGAAAUUUAUACAAAAUUUAGAAGUUAGUUGCGCUUUAAAAAUAAUUAAAAAUCAUGUUCUUAAAGAAAUAAGAUUUUUAAUAUUUUAAAAACUCCUAAAAUAUUUAUAAUCACUAUUAAGCAAUUAAAAUAAUUAUUCAAAUUAUCUUUGUAUUUUUACAAAAAUAAAUAUCCAUUUAAGAGGAUAAUAAAUCUUUGAUAAAAUAAUAUAAUAAUAUCAAAAGCAGAAAUAAAUGCACACAUAGACAUAAUCGUAUACAAAUAGAUCAAUUAAAUCUCUUAACAGAUAAUUGCACGAUCAACAGAUAUUUUCCCAUAACCCCGUUGACCAGGAAAAUAUUUAAACAAAUAUAUUUAUUUUUAUUUAUUAUUUUUUUUUUUUUUGAAAUUUACCAAACUGGAAUAAAAUAUUAAAUUUUAUUCCUCCUUUUUAUAAAAACCAUUAAUAAAAUAUUUUGAAAAAUCCGGGUUGUCACA
This 9050-nucleotide long non-coding RNA is filed under the name Daucus carota (carrot). Its description in RNAcentral is "long non-coding RNA (DCAR_LNC004541)". Lineage: Eukaryota; Viridiplantae; Streptophyta; Magnoliopsida; Apiales; Apiaceae. The record is from RNAcentral.